AAUAGAUACCCUGGUAGUCCACGCCGUAAACGAUGAGUGCUGAGUGUUAGGGGGUUUCCGCCCCUUAGUGCUGCAGCUAACGCAUUAAGCACUCCGCCUGGGGAGUACGGUCGCAAGACUGAAACUCAAAGGAAUUGACGGGGGCCCGCACAAGCGGUGGAGCAUGUGGUUUAAUUCGAAGCAACGCGAAGAACCUUACCAGGUCUUGACAUCCCAUUGACCACUAUGGAGACAUAGUUUUCCCUUCGGGGACAACGGUGACAGGUGGUGCAUGGUUGUCGUCAGCUCGUGUCGUGAGAUGUUGGGUUAAGUCCCGCAACGAGCGCAACCCUUGUUCUUAGUUGCCAUCAUUUAGUUGGGCACUCUAAGGAGACUGCCGGUGACAAACCGGAGGAAGGUGGGGAUGACGUCAAAUCAUCAUGCCCCUUAUGACCUGGGCUACACACGUGCUACAAUGGACGGUACAAACGGUUGCCAACCCGCGAGGGGGAGCUAAUCCGGAUAAAACCGUUCUCAGUUCGGAUUGUAGGCUGCAACUCGCCUAC
RNAcentral lists this ribosomal RNA (545 nucleotides) under uncultured bacterium. RNAcentral describes it as "bacterial SSU rRNA". It matches the Rfam family "Bacterial small subunit ribosomal RNA", at positions 777 to 1319 of the family's 1533-position model. The record is from RNAcentral.